GGCCUCCCUCUGUGGGGCGAUCAAUUGCAGGGCCCCCAGAUUGAUCACUCUGCAGAGGGAGGCC
Molecule: microRNA precursor, 64 nt
Filed under: Myotis lucifugus (little brown bat)
Lineage: Eukaryota; Metazoa; Chordata; Mammalia; Chiroptera; Vespertilionidae
Description: mir-9242 microRNA precursor family
Rfam family: mir-9242 microRNA precursor family
Source: Rfam by way of RNAcentral